CUUUUCUGUUUCAUAUCCCACCUUUAUAUGUGUUGCCAGCCUUAGAUUUGAUGGAAGUGUUUUAGUGAAGUUCUAAUCAGUUCACACAGUGUGCUCCUCAUUACUCAAAGUUUGGCAAAUCACCAACAUAUUUGCUUUUUAAGUCACAUUAGGCUUGACAAAACUGGCCAGUUGAAGAUGGAUAAACGUAUUCUGGUGCGAUGAAUCUCUGUUUCUGCUGAUCGACUGCAUGAAUCCACCGACACCACCUGCCUUCCUGAAAGAGAUGGCAGCAGGAUACACAACAGGAAGAAGGCAAACCAGCAGUGUGAUGUUCUGGACAAUGUUCUGCUGGGGAAAACUGGGUCCCACUUUGAUUAGAUGGAGCAGUGCAGAGAAGUGAAGCUGACAGCCGGAGUGAGGAGGACGAGAUGAAAAGGAGAGCGGA
Molecule: long non-coding RNA, 427 nt
Organism: Amphiprion ocellaris (clown anemonefish)
Lineage: Eukaryota; Metazoa; Chordata; Actinopteri; Pomacentridae
Source: Ensembl